RNAcentral lists this long non-coding RNA (414 nucleotides) under Lathyrus oleraceus (garden pea). RNAcentral describes it as "Pisum sativum (pea) long non-coding RNA (PSAT_LNC036164)". The record is from RNAcentral. Lineage: Eukaryota; Viridiplantae; Streptophyta; Magnoliopsida; Fabales; Fabaceae.
AAACACAGGCAUUGCCUCUUAAGGAGGACUUCAGACAGUUUGCCCGGUCAAAUAACAGACCGGGUCUCCAGACUACAUGAAGAAGAAGUAAUUAUACCUCAAAGCAAAUGCUAUAAAGCAAAGCAAGCAAUCAAGUUCAAAGAACUUAGGCAACUAAAGUACCUGAAAAAGUCAAACUCAUUAGUAAACAAGUCAACAAUCAAAAGCAAAAGAAAAUGAACCGAUAGUCACACAGAAGGACCAAUUGUGCAAGGCACAAAGACUCAAGCAUAUGAGUCACCUACAAAACAAGUGUUAGCACAAUAUAAACAAUUCAAAUCAAGCACAUUGGAGCGAUCCUUAAAGCAUGGGUGCUCAUCCUGAAACAACAGCUCAAUUGUAAGCUCAGAAGACCACUAGGACUAGCCUAGGGUC